AAAUUUUGAAGAAGAGAAAAAAAAACAAAAAAAAACUUUAAUCGAUGAACAAGUGGCAAAAUAUAUUAUUCUCACUUUGAAAAUAUUCCGUUGAAUCUAUUGAAUACACAGUACACAUACGAAGAACAUACGCACAAUAUUUCCCAAAUUUCUACUAAAUAGAAACAGCUAAUCAAAUUGACAUAACAAAUUAAAAUAAAAACAAAACAAAAUUAUUAUUUUUGCUACACUCACAGGAAAGUAAAAUUUGAUACAUUUUUUCUGUUUGGUGGUUGUUGUGGCUUGUAGUUUUGUUCCCACAUAAAUGUCGUUUAACAAGUGAGAAUCUAGAUUUUUAUUUUCUGAUCUUUUUGAUAGAUACGCACACGCGAGUUGCAACGAAGUAUACUAAAAUCUAGUUGUUCGUUUGUUAGACUAAAUGUAUGUGGAAACAAAAUUACAAACCACAUCAACUGUGAAAUCGGGAAACAUGUCAAAUUCCGCUUUUCCGCUAGUGUAUUUCAUUUUAUAUCGAUGUUCUUCCGUCGUUCAUUUUGACAUCAUAGUCGUGAAAAAGGAAAUUCCUACGGAACAAUUAAAUUACAUUACGCACCACACA
Long non-coding RNA from Bradysia coprophila, 598 nucleotides. The record is from RefSeq and is a predicted model, not a curated record. NCBI's taxonomy places the organism in Eukaryota, Metazoa, Arthropoda, Insecta, Diptera, Sciaridae.